This 1383-nucleotide long non-coding RNA is filed under the name Populus trichocarpa (black cottonwood). RNAcentral describes it as "long non-coding RNA (PTRI_LNC002695)". Lineage: Eukaryota; Viridiplantae; Streptophyta; Magnoliopsida; Malpighiales; Salicaceae. The record is from RNAcentral.
GGGGGGAUUUUUAUUCACGGGGAGAAAAUUUUAGACGGGUGGAGAGAAUGAACAAGAGGGAAAACAACAGAAAAAACCCUAUCUUAAAACUAAUCCAGGGAGAGGCCGCCGCCUCCUGGUGAAAAGGAGAACCAGAGCUCCCUCACCCGAGGGAGAGUUUUGGGACUUUUGCUCCCACAAUCAUUCUUCCCCAGCUUACCAUCACAAGCCCUGAACCCAGCAUUUCCCGGCCAUCUCUCUUCCUUUUCCUCGGCCAGCACCAUAUUUUAGCCAAAGACAAACCAAACAGAGCCCCCUGGUUUUGAUUUUUCCAGCCGGCCGCAGGACUGACCUUCCCUUCUCCUUCCAGCCGACCGCAGGACUGACCUUCCCUUCUCCUUCCAGCCGACCUCCAACUUCAAAAGACCCAGCCAAGGACAGAACAACCCAUCUCCCCCUGCCUCAGCCGGAUUAGAGCAUCCGGCCAAAACCAAGGAGAAGCCGCCCCCCCAAACUGCAGAAAGAAAUAAAUCGGAGAGCACCUCCUCGUCUCUGCUCUCUAUCCAAGCCAGACAGCAGCGGUCCUUCCCUUCUCUGAGGCAAAGAAACCAGCGACCCUCUCUCGGCCACCGACUCCAGGCCACAUCCUUCCCUCAGCCGGCUCUCUCCCAAACAGCCACAGCUGGAACCGGGGAGCCAAAGGGAGGCCGCCGCUCCUAUUUUUUGCUGUCUUCUUCUUCGCCCGACAGACCCGAGUCCGGCUUUCUUCUUCCCCAGCCGCCUCUGUUUUUUUGGCCAAAACCUGAGUGAGCCAAAGUCACCGCCAACCACUGAAGCUGAGGAGAAGAAGAAGCUCUCCCAACCACCAAAUCCAUCAUCGGCAGAAGGAAAAUAAACAGAGAAGGGAGAAGGAGUUGGAACCGGCCAGAUCUAAAAAACAAAACCCAUUGCUGUUUGUGCGUUUUCUCUCUGUUGCAGGUGACAGAUUUCCUCACCGCAGGCAGGUGAAUUCACGCGCCGCCAGGGGCGGUGGCGCGUGGAGGAGACGCGCCGCCACUUGUCAUAGCCACAGAAGAUGCCCAGAAUUCUCCAGCACUGUUCCCGAAGCUAUUUUUGUAAUUUUUAAAUGUUGCUGUAUAUGUCUGGAUACUGUUGUGUUUUGAUUUACUUUUUUUUUUUUUUGUUAUUUUGUAAACAUGUAAUUAUGGGUGAGAAAAUAGUAAAAAGGGAUGUGUGUGUUUGUAUCUCUUUUUAUUUAUGUUAUUGAACUAUAAAAAUCAAAGAGACAGAAUUGAGUGUUUAAUUUGAAUAUGAUUAAAUAUCUCAAGGAUAAAUAAAAUCAAGUUGUAUUUUCUUGAAAAUGUAAGAACGUGUUUCUAUAUAUUUCAGGAUUUAAUAACUGAC